This 874-nucleotide ribosomal RNA is filed under the name uncultured bacterium. Its description in RNAcentral is "bacterial SSU rRNA". It matches the Rfam family "Bacterial small subunit ribosomal RNA", at positions 618 to 1503 of the family's 1533-position model. The record is from RNAcentral.
GGAACUGCCAUCAAACUUUUCAGUAGAGUAUGAUAGAGGAAAGCGGAAUUCUAGUGUAGAGGUGAAAUUCGUAGAUAUAGAAAAGAAUACCAAUUGCGAAGGCAGCUUUCUGGAUCAUUACUGACACUGAGGAACGAAAAGCAUGGGUAGCGAAGAGGAUUAGAUACCCUCGUAGUCCAUNCCGUAAACGAUGUGUGUUAGACGUUGGAAAAUUUAUUUUCAGUGUCGCAGCGAAAGCGAUAAACACACCGCCUGGGGAGUACGACCGCAAGGUUAAAACUCAAAUGAAUUGACGGGGACCCGCACAAGUAGUGGAGCAUGUGGUUUAAUUCGAAGAUACGCGCAGAACCUUACCAACACUUGACAUGUUCGUCGCGACUCUAAGAGAUUAGAGUUUUCGGUUCGGCCGGACGAAACACAGGUGCUGCAUGGCUGUCGUCAGCUCGUGUCGUGAGAUGUUGGGUUAAGUCCCGCAACGAGCGCAACCCUCACUUUUAGUUGCCAUCAUUAAGUUGGGCACUCUGAAAGAACUGCCAGUGAUAAGCUGGAGGAAGGUGGGGAUGACGUCAAGUCCUCAUGGCCCUUACGUGUUGGGCUACACACGUGCUACAAUGGUAUCUACAACAGGAAGCAAGACUGCGAGGUCAAGCAAAUCCUUAAAAGAUACCUCAGUUCGGAUUGCACUCUGCAACUCGAGUGCAUGAAGCUGGAAUUACUAGUAAUCGUGGAUCAGCGUGCCACGGUGAAUGCGUUCCCGGGUCUUGUACACACCGCCCGUCACACCAUGGGAGUUGGUUCUACCUUAAGGCAAGGUUUUAAGCCCUUGACCACGGUAUAGUCAGCGACUGGGGUGAAGUCGUAUCUAGGUAGCCAA